Molecule: unclassified non-coding RNA, 222 nt
Filed under: uncultured fungus
Lineage: Eukaryota; Fungi
Description: sequence contains ITS1, 5.8S rRNA gene
Rfam family: 5.8S ribosomal RNA (bases 174-222)
Source: RNAcentral
UUUCCGUAGGUGAACCUGCGGAAGGAUCAUUACAGAGUUCAUGCCCUCACGGGUAGAUCUCCCACCCUUGUGAAUCUCACUAUCUGUUGCUUUGGCGGCUUGUGUUACAGCAGCCGCCAGAGGACCCUAAAACUCUGAAUGUCAGUGUCGUCUGAGUACUAUAUAAUAGUUAAAACUUUCAACAACGGAUCUCUUGGUUCUGGCAUCGAUGAAGAACGCAGC